Molecule: non-coding RNA, 113 nt
Organism: Acanthosepion pharaonis
Lineage: Eukaryota; Metazoa; Mollusca; Cephalopoda; Sepiida; Sepiidae
Source: the annotation of a GenBank genome assembly
UAUGGCCAUAUCCCAUUGAAACACCAGUUCUUAUAUGAUCACCAAAGGUAAGCAACAUUGAGCCUGGUCAGUACCUAGAUAUGUGACUGCUUGGGAAUACCACGUGAUGUAAG